RNAcentral lists this unclassified non-coding RNA (519 nucleotides) under Hevea brasiliensis (rubber tree). Lineage: Eukaryota; Viridiplantae; Streptophyta; Magnoliopsida; Malpighiales; Euphorbiaceae. The record is from RNAcentral.
CUCAUGUGAGAAGAAAGUCCACACCCAUUUCCCCUCUCUCUCUCUCUCUCUCUCAUAUGCAGAUCUUGAGCUAAGCCACAAGCAUAAACAUCAGAUUUACAUCAUUAAUCUGGCAUUCAGAAUGGACUUCCACUUCCCAUCACUCACUGGAUCCAUUGCUAAACUCUGCUCCUUCACCAUUUUGCUUCUUUUCUUGCUUUCUUGCUCCACUUUCACUCCUACAGAAGCCUAUGAUGCUCUUGAUCCAAAUGGGAAUAUCACUAUCAAAUGGGACGUAAUAAGCUGGACUCCAGAUGGCUAUGUUGCAGUUGUUACCAUGUACAACUUCCAGCAAUAUCGCCACAUUCAAGCUCCAGGUUGGACAUUGGGUUGGACAUGGGCAAAAAAGGAGGUAAUAUGGACCAUGAUGGGAGGCCAAACCACAGAGCAAGGGGAUUGUUCCAAGUACAAAGGAAACGUCCCCCAUUGCUGUAAGAAGGAUCCUACUGUUGUGGAUUUAUUGCCAGGAACUCCUUACAA